RNAcentral lists this ribosomal RNA (497 nucleotides) under uncultured Glomeromycotina. Its description in RNAcentral is "partial small subunit ribosomal RNA". It matches the Rfam family "Eukaryotic small subunit ribosomal RNA", at positions 591 to 1092 of the family's 1831-position model. Lineage: Eukaryota; Fungi; Glomeromycota. The record is from RNAcentral.
CCAAUAGCGUAUAUUAAAGUUGUUGCAGUUAAAAAGCUCGUAGUUGAAUUUCGGGAUUAGUACGUCGGUCGUGCCUUCGGUACGUACUGGUGUUACUGAUUCCUACCUUCUGACGAACCAUCAUGUCAUUAAUUUGGUGUGGCGGGGAAUCAGGACAGUUACUUUGAAAAAAUUAGAGUGUUUAAAGCAGGCUCGCGCUUGAAUACAUUAGCAUGGAAUAAUGAAAUAGGACGUUGACCCUAUUUUGUUGGUUUCUAGGAUUGACGUAAUGAUUAAUAGGGAUAGUUGGGGGCAUUAGUAUUCAAUUGUCAGAGGUGAAAUUCUUGGAUUUAUUGAAGACUAACUACUGCGAAAGCAUUUGCCAAGGAUGUUUUCAUUAAUCAAGAACGAAAGUUAGGGGAUCGAAGACGAUCAGAUACCGUCGUAGUCUUAACCAUAAACUAUGCCGACUAGGGAUCGGAUGAUGUUAUUUUUAAUGACUCAUUCGGCGCCUUACG